RNAcentral lists this ribosomal RNA (492 nucleotides) under uncultured bacterium. RNAcentral describes it as "partial 16S ribosomal RNA". It matches the Rfam family "Bacterial small subunit ribosomal RNA", at positions 29 to 507 of the family's 1533-position model. The record is from RNAcentral.
AGUGAACGCUGGCGGUAGGCCUAACACAUGCAAGUCGAACGGCAGCACAGUAAGAGCUUGCUCUUACGGGUGGCGAGUGGCGGACGGGUGAGGAAUACAUCGGAAUCUACUUUUUCGUGGGGGAUAACGUAGGGAAACUUACGCUAAUACCGCAUACGACUUACGGGUGAAAGCAGGGGAUCUUCGGACCUUGCGUGAUUGAAUGAGCCGAUGUCGGAUUAGCUAGUUGGCGGGGUAAAGGCCCACCAAGGCGACGAUCCGUAGCUGGUCUGAGAGGAUGAUCAGCCACACUGGAACUGAGACACGGUCCAGACUCCUACGGGAGGCAGCAGUGGGGAAUAUUGGACAAUGGGCGCAAGCCUGAUCCAGCCAUACCGCGUGGGUGAAGAAGGCCUUCGGGUUGUAAAGCCCUUUUGUUGGGAAAGAAAAGCAGCAGGUUAAUACCCCGCUGUUCUGACGGUACCCAAAGAAUAAGCACCGGCUAACUUCGUG